UGCCACCUUCGGGGGGCUGCAACAGCGGCGGGUCUGACCUGCUGCAAGAAAACGGAAGACAGAAA
Non-coding RNA from Roseovarius marisflavi, 65 nucleotides. The record is from Rfam. NCBI's taxonomy places the organism in Bacteria, Pseudomonadati, Pseudomonadota, Alphaproteobacteria, Rhodobacterales, Roseobacteraceae.